RNAcentral lists this non-coding RNA (1509 nucleotides) under Cryptosporidium parvum. Lineage: Eukaryota; Apicomplexa; Conoidasida; Eucoccidiorida; Cryptosporidiidae. The record is from RNAcentral.
CACAUGUAAUAUAGAGUUUUUGGAUGAUUAUUGUUUAAUUAAAAAGGAACAAAAUGUUAAAAGUUAGAAUUAUAGCUUAAUCAAGAAUUAGAACAAGUAAAUUUGAUUAGCAACAUUUAUUUAAAUUAAAUUGGGAAUCAAAAUUAGAGCUGAGAAUAAAACAAAAUGAACAAAUCGAGUGAGAAUUAAAUACAAGCAAGGAAAAAGCGUAGAUAAGGUCAGAAUGCACGUCAAUCAUAAGCAAUAGCGCAAUAAGAUGAAAAAAAAGGAAGAAUGUACUGAAAAGAAGAAAGCUACGUGUUAAAUAAGGGUUACUAUCACUAUAGAUGCAACAUCAUUAUUAUAUGAUACCUCUACAAAAUUUACUCUUCCUGAGCAGCCAACUGAGCAACAAGUUCGAUCUUCUUCUGGACUCUUUCCUUUCUCUGUUGGUUAGUUAGCUUAACAUGUCUAACGUAUUGGGACUUCUCGGUCUUAAUAGUGUUUCCAACACGAGUCUUGGUUACCUUUCUUGCUGGCUUCUUCUGACGAGAUGGGUCAGCAUGAAUUGCCUUGACGGCGUUCUUGUACAUAUCAGCGAGUUUGUCAGCAGUGAUACCAGCCUUAAUGUACUGAGAGAAGUGAGCCUUGUAUUUCUCUGGAUCAUCUUCCUGCAUCUCAGACAUGUAGUUGGAAAUGUGCUUUCCAAGAAUACGAUCCUUGAGUACUUCAGCAUCGAACGAGUCUUCAGCACCAUUCUCACCUUUGGUGAAUCCUGGGAAUCUGUUUGGGGAAUGUGGUAUAUAGAUUCCACCAUCAGUAGCACCCUUCAUGGCAGCAAAGACACGGUUUCCACUUGUUGUUCUAGUGAGACCAACAUCUAAAAUGCACUUGAAUGGUCUUCUAUCUUCAGCCUCUUCCUCUACAUGGUAGUCAUCUCCAGUAAUCUCACCAACUCCAGUGAAGAUUUUAUCCAUAUUGAGUUGUUUCAAUACACGUCUGGCACAUAAAAGACCAGUGCAAUAUGCUGCUGAAAAGUUUGCUAAACCAACUGGGACGCCAUAUCUUGGUAAUUCUGUAGAGUCUGCUGAGCAAAUCACUCUGUCUCCCUCAAUUGUGGCAUAGAUAAUUUGGCAUAUUACUUUUGUAUUGGUCAAUCUUACAACAAAACGGUACUUUGGUGAGUUGUACUUUGUCUUGUCCUGAGAAAUCAUAGCACGACGAGCUUGAUAAUCAGUCUUACCUUCACGUCGUCUACGUGGUUUAACCUGGUAACGGCUGAAGUAUGCCUUAUUCUUCAAAACCUUAACAAAAGCCAUAUUUUUAAUAUAAGAUACUAAUAAAAAUGCCUAAUGCUUUUUGCCUUAAAAACCAAAAUAAAGAUCUUUUUGUUUUUUCAGCUUUUGCUUUUUUUAAUUAUUUGUGGAAAACUUAUUAUUAAUAGUUACUUAUAAUUGUCAAAUUUAAUCUUUAAUUACUAUUUAUUGAUUAUUAUUGUUUAAGUAAUUAAUCAGUUUGCCGCCAAAAAAU